AACGAACGCUGGCGGCAUGCCUAACACAUGCAAGUCGAACGCGUGGAGCGAUCCACGAGUGGCGCACGGGUGAGUAACGCGUGGGAACCUGCCCUGGAGUGUGGGAUAACCCGGCGAAAGCCGGGCUAAUAUCGCAUACGACCUGAGGGUGAAAGAUUUAUCGCUCUAGGAGGGGCCCGCCUCGGAUUAGCUAGUUGGUGAGGUAAUGGCUCACCAAGGCGAUGAUCCGUAGCUGGUCUGAGAGGAUGAUCAGCGACACUGGGACUGAGACACGGCUCAGACUCUUACGGGCGGCAGCAGUGGGGAAUAUUGGACAAUGGGGGCAACCCUGAUCAAGCAAUGCCGCGUGGGCGAUGAAGGCCUUCGGGUUGUAACGCCCUUUUGCACGCGACGAUGAUGACGGUAGCGUGAGAAGAAGCCCCGGCUAACUUCGUGCCAGCAGCCGCAGUAA
Molecule: ribosomal RNA, 451 nt
Filed under: uncultured bacterium
Lineage: Bacteria
Description: partial 16S ribosomal RNA
Rfam family: Bacterial small subunit ribosomal RNA
Source: RNAcentral